GAGGCAGCAGUGGGGAAUAUUGCACAAUGGGCGAAAGCCUGAUGCAGCGACGCCGCGUGAGGGAUGACGGCCUUCGGGUUGUAAACCUCUUUCACCAGGGACGAAGCUAACGUGACGGUACCUGGAGAAGAAGCACCGGCUAACUACGUGCCAGCAGCCGCGGUAAUACGUAGGGUGCGAGCGUUGUCCGGAAUUAUUGGGCGUAAAGAGCUUGUAGGCGGUUUGUCGCGUCUGCUGUGAAAGACCGGGGCUUAACUCCGGUUCUGCAGUGGGUACGGGCAGACUAGAGUAUGGUAGGGGAGACUGGAACUCCUGGUGUAGCGGUGAAAUGCGCAGAUAUCAGGAGGAACACCGAUGGCGAAGGCAGGUCUCUGGGCCAUUACUGACGCUGAGAAGCGAAAGCAUGGGGAGCGAACAGGAUUAGAUACCCUGGUAGUCCAUGCCGUAAACGUUGGGCGCUAGGUGUGGGGCUCAUUCCACGAGUUCCGUGCCGCAGCUAACGCAUUAAGCGCCCCGCCUGGGGA
RNAcentral lists this ribosomal RNA (524 nucleotides) under uncultured bacterium. RNAcentral describes it as "bacterial SSU rRNA". It matches the Rfam family "Bacterial small subunit ribosomal RNA", at positions 345 to 879 of the family's 1533-position model. The record is from RNAcentral.